CCAAACCAGAAAAGAAGAGAAACCAAAGAAGAACAAACCCUAGGUGGGAAAAAUCAAAGAGAAAGUGUUGGAAUUCAAGGAUUUGAUCAAGCAAAGGUAAAAUUUCUUUGAUUUUGCUAGUGAUUUACCGUACGCAUGCAUUUCUCCUUAAUUUCCAUGGUUGGAUUGUAUGUUUUCAUGGGGAAAUCAUGGCUGGGCGAAUGGGUUUGGUGAGAGAAAUGAUGUUGGAAUUGUUUGAUUUUGAGUUAUGUUGGUGUUUAGAGCUAGUUAAGCAUGUUUAGAAACAAAACAACAAGAAAAGAAUCCAUUUUCCCCAUGAACCUACAAUGGCCGAACCCUAUGUGAAGUGUAGAAGUAAUGAAUUGAUUUUGUGAUCAAGUGAAUUGGUUGAGAAAUUGAUGAAAUGAUGAUUUAUGUUAAGAAUAUGGAAUGGAAAAAUUUUUAGUGAUAGUGCAUCACAAUGGUCGAAAUUUUCAAGAAGAAUUGUGAGGAUUGUUAGGCUGAAUUUUAGAUUAUUGGAAUUGUAUUUAGUGAAUUGAAAUAUUAGAAAUGAAAUGGUGCAAUUUGGAGCCAAAUCGGAUACAAUUAUCAUUUAAUCAGGUAAUAGGCCAAAUUAGGUCAGCACUGCAUUUAAGCGGUAGUUGGAUAAGUUGCAUAUCAUAUCAUGCAUAUACACCGAGCCUGAAUUGAUUUUAUAAUGGUCAAGAAUUAAUGUGGUGAAUUAUGUAUUGUACAUCGUGGAUAGGUGGUGAGCAAAUUACACUAGUAAAAGUACAAAUAUUGUACUUGAAGACUGAGAUUAGGAGUAUAUCGACUCCUAGAACUGUGAGUAAACUUAUUAUCGUCUUAAUUAUCUAGAGUAGUUUUAUACAAUUGAGUGAUUUUAUAGAAAAUGGGUUUAAAUGGUAAAUUGCUAUGUUUUAGGAGAAAUUGUGAUUUAUAAAAUGAUUUUAUAAAUUUUCUGAAAAAUUGAAUACUGGUUUUGAAAAUAGAUUAAUUGGAGACUGUCUGCUUGUGUUAUAAAUUGUGUUUUAAAUUAUAUGGCUUAUAGCAAUAUGUGUGCAUGAAUGGCAAAGUCGGUAUUUGUAUCAAAAUUAUAUAUACUAUGUAUUCAGCCUUGAGAGGCUAGAUUGCGAUAAAUUUCCAUGUCAUACAGAUAAAUAUUUUAUAAAUCAGGUGGUAGAUAAAAUAAUCCAUAAUCCCUACAGUGGAGGUUCUAUGGACCAGCCUAAGAGAGAGGGCAUAGAAUCAAAUAUACCUGACCUCGAUCGGAGAGCCGUGUGGAGGGUUUCUCUAGAGGUAAAGAUUUGAGUGCACUUCACAUGGACCACCACGUGAGAGUGAGACUCAGCCAACGCCAAG
This 1362-nucleotide long non-coding RNA is filed under the name Theobroma cacao (cacao). RNAcentral's name for it is "long non-coding RNA (TCAC_LNC003785)". The record is from RNAcentral. Lineage: Eukaryota; Viridiplantae; Streptophyta; Magnoliopsida; Malvales; Malvaceae.